GGAGGGGUGCCGGAGCGGUCGAUCGGGGCGGUCUCGAAAACCGUUGUGCCCCUUAUAAGGGCACCGUGGGUUCGAAUCCCACCCCCUCCGCCA
Molecule: transfer RNA, 93 nt
Filed under: Rhodospirillales bacterium
Lineage: Bacteria; Pseudomonadati; Pseudomonadota; Alphaproteobacteria; Rhodospirillales
Description: tRNA-Ser
Rfam family: tRNA
About the family: Transfer RNA (tRNA) molecules are approximately 80 nucleotides in length. Their secondary structure includes four short double-helical elements and three loops (D, anti-codon, and T loops). Further hydrogen bonds mediate the characteristic L-shaped molecular structure. tRNAs have two regions of fundamental functional importance: the anti-codon, which is responsible for specific mRNA codon recognition, and the 3' end, to which the tRNAs corresponding amino acid is attached (by aminoacyl-tRNA synthetases). tRNAs cope with the degeneracy of the genetic code in two manners: having more than one tRNA (with a specific anti-codon) for a particular amino acid; and 'wobble' base-pairing, i.e. permitting non-standard base-pairing at the 3rd anti-codon position.
Source: RNAcentral